CCCUUAGAUGUCCUGGGCCGCACGCGCGUUACACUGAUGCAUUCAACGAGCUUAUAACCUUGGCCGAGAGGCCUGGGCAAUCUUGUUAACGUGCAUCGUGAUUGGGAUAGAUUAUUGAAAUUAUUAAUCUUGGACGAGGAAUUCCUAGUAAACGCAGAUCAUCAAUCUGCAUUGAUUACGUCCCUGCCCUUUGUACACACCGCCCGUCGCACCUACCGAUUGGAUGGUCCGAUGAAGCCUCGGGAUUGUGGUUCUUGCCGCUUUAUUGUGGCGUGACCGCGAGAACUUGUCUAAACCUUAUCAUCUAGAGGAAGGUGAAGUCGUAACA
Molecule: ribosomal RNA, 328 nt
Filed under: uncultured eukaryote
Lineage: Eukaryota
Description: partial 18S ribosomal RNA
Rfam family: Eukaryotic small subunit ribosomal RNA
Source: RNAcentral